Molecule: transfer RNA, 73 nt
Filed under: Cordylochernes scorpioides
Lineage: Eukaryota; Metazoa; Arthropoda; Arachnida; Pseudoscorpiones; Chernetidae
Description: tRNA-Thr
Rfam family: tRNA
About the family: Transfer RNA (tRNA) molecules are approximately 80 nucleotides in length.
Source: RNAcentral
UCCAGGGUAGCCUAGUGGACAUGGCAUCUGCUCGGUAAGCGGAAGGUCGUGGGUUCGAUUCCCGCCCCUGGAC